Molecule: long non-coding RNA, 1607 nt
Filed under: Piliocolobus tephrosceles (Ugandan red Colobus)
Lineage: Eukaryota; Metazoa; Chordata; Mammalia; Primates; Cercopithecidae
Description: lncRNA (ENSPTEG00000017720.1)
Source: RNAcentral
CCUAUGCACAACACACGCGUGUCUGCUUAGAUAUAACUCCCAAUACAAUGUUAGACUCAAACAAUAACUUAAGUCUUGAAAACAUAGCAAAUGUUAAAAUAAAAUUGUAUCAGGCCUCUAAUGUAUACGAUUCUAAAGAUUCAAAACAGGAUAAUAUUGCUUAUGAUGUGUACAUAUUAACAUAUAUAAAACAUAUAGUUAGAAUAAAAGCAAAUUUAGCAUUACAUGGUGGUUUAUAUAGUAAUUAUUUUGAAAAAUAUGAAGAAGAUUCUAUAUCUAAUAUUAUGUUAGACAACCUUAUAGAUAAGAGUGAAUUGGAUAAAUGUGAUGAUAAAAAAGGAAAUAAUACUAAUAGUAAUAAAAAUGUUAAUUUUCGAAAUAAUAAAAACAUGUUAAAUAAUAAAAAUAAUGAAGAAAAAGAUGGUGAUGAUGGUGAAAAAAGAGAUUUGAAUUUUUCUAUUAAAGAAUUAUUAAAAAAAUUAAUAAAAUCAUAUAAGAUUCGAGAAAAUAAAAUAUUUUUAGUUACUGGUAUGUUAGGUUGUGGUAAAACAACAUGUGUUACUUUAGCCAUUGAAUAUUUUAAUAAAUUUUUACAGAUAGAAAAAAAUAUGAAAAAUAAAUUUGUAAAAAAACAUGUUUUAUUUUCUGAAUAUGACAAUUCUACAAAUAAUAAUAUUGAUGGUGUUAAUAAGGUUAUGAAACAUAAAACGUAUAAAAAAACACCAUAUACUAAUAAACAUUAUGAUCAUGUAGAUUCUUCAGAUUAUAGUUCGUUACCUGUCGACAUAAACAGUAAUGAUAGUAAUGAUCACCAUAAAAAAAAAUUAAAAAUAAACUACGAUGAACCACUUUUUAGUUUUACACCUAAAAAGGAUAAGAAUGUUAAAAAGGGAGAUAAAAAUACAACUACUAUAGCUAGCUGUAGUAAAAAAAAUACAAUAAUAAAAAAUAAAAAUAAAUAUAACACAUAUGAUAAGAAUAAAACAUCUCCACGUUUUAACAAUAAUAAUGAUGAUAAUAAUAAUAAUAAUAAUAACCAAAUGAAUAAAAACAAAAAUGAUCAUAAUGAACAUGGACAAAAAUUUCAAUUUGAUAUGAAUUUAGACAUGAGUCCAAGAAAAUUAAAAGAAAAUAUAAAAGUUGUAGAAAAUAAAAUAGAAAGUCAAUAUAUACUUAAUAAUAUUCAAUCCAAAUUUUUAAGAAGACAUUAUAUUAAAAAAGUGUUAAGAGAUUUGUGUUCAAUCGAAUAUAUGAUUUUAUGUGCUUUUGCAAGAUUAUAUAAAAAAGAAUUAUUACCUAAAACUUUAUAUGUAAUUAUAUUAGAAAUUAAUAAAUUUAAACAAGCUUAUCCACAAGAACAAAUAACUGGAUUUUCACUUGAUGCUUAUAGAAGAUCCUUUUUCAGAUUAGUAGACUUAGAUAUAAUAGUAUUAUCAUCUUAUUCAUUAAAUCAUUUAAAUAUAAAAAAUUAUAGUAACGAUUUAUUUGGAUUACAUGAACCUACCAAAUUCCCAUGUUAUGAUAUAUUUUUAGAAAAUAUAGACACUUACAACUUAAACCAUAAUUUAAUUCAGUGGGUUAAGCACAAUAUUGAGGUGAUGCAGUAA